CGAAUAGGGGAGCCGGAGGGAAACCGAGUCUUAACCGGGCGUUAAGUUGCAGGGUAUAGACCCGAAACCCGGUGAUCUAGCCAUGGGCAGGUUGAAGGUUGGGUAACACUAACUGGAGGACCGAACCGACUAAUGUUGAAAAAUUAGCGGAUGACCUGUGGCUGGGGGUGAAAGGCCAAUCAAACCGGGAGAUAGCUGGUUCUCCCCGAAAGCUAUUUAGGUAGCGCCUCGUGAAUUCAUCUCCGGGGGUAGAGCACUGUUUCGGCUAGGGGGCCAUCCCGGCUUACCAACCCGAUGCAAACUGCGAAUACCGGAGAAUGUUAUCACGGGAGACACACGGCGGGUGCUAACGUCCGUCGUGAAGAGGGAAACAACCCAGACCGCCAGCUAAGGUCCCAAAGUCAUGGUUAAGUGGGAAACGAUGUGGGAAGGCCCAGACAGCCAGGAUGUUGGCUUAGAAGCAGCCAUCAUUUAAAGAAAGCGUAAUAGCUCACUGGUCGAGUCGGCCUGCGCGGAAGAUGUAACGGGGCUAAACCAUG
This 539-nucleotide ribosomal RNA is filed under the name Salmonella enterica. RNAcentral's name for it is "partial 23S ribosomal RNA". It matches the Rfam family "Bacterial large subunit ribosomal RNA", at positions 654 to 1191 of the family's 2925-position model. Lineage: Bacteria; Pseudomonadati; Pseudomonadota; Gammaproteobacteria; Enterobacterales; Enterobacteriaceae. The record is from RNAcentral.